Molecule: ribosomal RNA, 828 nt
Filed under: uncultured Poseidonibacter sp.
Lineage: Bacteria; Pseudomonadati; Campylobacterota; Epsilonproteobacteria; Campylobacterales; Arcobacteraceae
Description: bacterial SSU rRNA
Rfam family: Bacterial small subunit ribosomal RNA
Source: RNAcentral
CAGAGUGAACGCUGGCGGCGUGCUUAACACAUGCAAGUCGAACGAGAACGGAUUAAAGCUUGCUUUAAUUGUCAGCUAAGUGGCGCACGGGUGAGUAAUAUAUAGGUAACAUGCCUUCGAGAAGGGGAUAACGUUUGGAAACGAACGCUAAUACCCUAUAUGCCUUUAAGACUAAAGUCUGCAAGGGAAAUAUUUAUAGCUCGAAGAUUGGCCUGUACAGUAUCAGUUAGUUGGUGAGGUAAUGGCUCACCAAGACAAUGACGCUUAACUGGUUUGAGAGGAUGAUCAGUCACACUGGAACUGAGACACGGUCCAGACUCCUACGGGAGGCAGCAGUGGGGAAUAUUGCACAAUGGACGAAAGUCUGAUGCAGCAACGCCGCGUGGAGGAUGACACAUUUCGGUGCGUAAACUCCUUUUAUAUAGGAAGAUAAUGACGGUACUAUAUGAAUAAGCACCGGCUAACUCCGUGCCAGCAGCCGCGGUAAUACGGAGGGUGCAAGCGUUACUCGGAAUCACUGGGCGUAAAGAGAAUGUAGGCGGAUAAAUAAGUUUGAAGUGAAAUCCAAUGGCUCAACCAUUGAACUGCUUUGAAAACUGUUGAUCUAGAAUAUGGGAGAGGUAGAUGGAAUUUCUGGUGUAGGGGUAAAAUCCGUAGAGAUCAGAAGGAAUACCGAUUGCGAAGGCGAUCUACUGGAACAUUAUUGACGCUGAGAUUCGAAAGCGUGGGGAGCAAACAGGAUUAGAUACCCUGGUAGUCCACGCCCUAAACGAUGCACACUAGUUGUUGUGAGGCUAGACCUUGCAGUAAUGCAGUUAACACAUUAAG